GUAAUGAAAUGUUAUGUGAAUGGCAAUUAUGAUAUUUAGCAUAUUGGUCUUGGCUCUCUCCAACAAGUAUGUGUGCUUUUAGUUCUUUGAUUGGUGGUGGUGGUUAGGCCAUCACUCAUUGCAUUUUUAUCUAUGAACAUUUAAAUAUAAAUUUGUUUGAAAGGCUUCUUGUAGUUUUGGUUACAUUAUGGCAUUGCAAUUGGCAUAAGCUCAAGCUUUUUUCAGCAAGUUUCUAUUUUCCCC
RNAcentral lists this unclassified non-coding RNA (243 nucleotides) under Hevea brasiliensis (rubber tree). The record is from RNAcentral. Lineage: Eukaryota; Viridiplantae; Streptophyta; Magnoliopsida; Malpighiales; Euphorbiaceae.